This 2307-nucleotide ribosomal RNA is filed under the name Clostridioides difficile. Its description in RNAcentral is "partial 23S ribosomal RNA". It matches the Rfam family "Bacterial large subunit ribosomal RNA", at positions 398 to 2724 of the family's 2925-position model. The record is from RNAcentral. Lineage: Bacteria; Bacillati; Bacillota; Clostridia; Peptostreptococcales; Peptostreptococcaceae.
AGAUAUGAUCCAGAGUACCACGGGACACGUGAAACCCUGUGGGAAGCAGGAGGGACCACCCUCCAAGGCUAAAUACUACCUAGUGACCGAUAGCGUAUAGUACCGUGAGGGAAAGGUGAAAAGAACCCCGGGAGGGGAGUGAAAUAGAACCUGAAACCCUGCACUUACAAGCUGUGGAAGCACAUUUCUUGUGUGACCGCGUACUUUUUGUAGAACGGGCCAACGAGUUACGUUAAGUAGCAAGGUUAAGCACUUAAGGUGCGGAGCCGUAGCGAAAGCGAGUUUUAACUGAGCGUUCAGUUACUUGACGUAGACCCGAAACCGGGCGACCUACCCAUGAGCAGGAUGAAGCGAAAGUAAAAUUUCGUGGAGGUCCGAACCCACGAGCGUUGAAAAGCUCGGGGAUGACUUGUGGGUAGCGGUGAAAUUCCAAUCGAGCCCGGAGAUAGCUGGUUCUCCCCGAAAUAGCUUUAGGGCUAGCCUCAAGGUGAGAGAUACGGAGGUAGAGCACUGAAUGUCCUAGGGGGUAUUGCACCUACCGAAGACUAUCAAACUCCGAAUGCCGUCAUCUUAUACUUGGGAGUCAGACUGUGGGUGAUAAGAUUCAUAGUCGAAAGGGCAACAGCCCAGAUCGUCAGCUAAGGUCCCUAAAUGUAAGUUAAGUGGUAAAGGAUGUGGGAUUGCACAGACAACCAGGAUGUUGGCUUAGAAGCAGCCACUCAUUCAAAGAGUGCGUAAUAGCUCACUGGUCGAGUGAUCCUGCGCCGAAGAUUUCCGGGGCUAAAACUUACUACCGAAGCUACGGCAUCAGUAAUGAUGGGUAGGGGAGCUUCCCAUACGGGUUGAAGCAUGACCGUAAGGACAUGUGGACAGUAUGGGAGUGAGAAUGUUGGCAUGAGUAGCGAGAUGUGGGUGAGAAUCCCACAGGCCGUAAACCCAAGGUUUCCAGGGGAAGGUUCGUCCGCCCUGGGUUAGUCGGGACCUAAGCUGAGGCCGAAAGGCGUAGGUGAUGGACAACAGGUUGAUAUUCCUGUACUACCGAUAACCGUUUGAGAGAAGGGAUGACACAGUAGGAUAAGCUAAGCACACUGUUGGUUAUGUGUGCCCAAGCAUUGAGGCAGUCAAAGUAGGCAAAUCCGCUUUGAUAAUGCUGGGAUGUGAUGGGGAGCGAAAUUUAGUAGCGAAGUAGCUGAUUUCACACUGUCAAGAAAAGUCUCUAUCGAGGUUAAAGGUACCCGUACCGCAAACCGACACAGGUGGGUGAGGAGAGUAUCCUAAGGCCAGCGAGAGAACUGUUGUUAAGGAACUCGGCAAAAUGACCCCGUAACUUAGGGAUAAGGGGUGCCACCAUCAGGUGGCCGCAGAGAAUAGGCCCAAGCGACUGUUUACCAAAAACAUAGGUUUCUGCUAAGUCGCAAGACGAUGUAUAGGAGCUGACGCCUGCCCGGUGCUGGAAGGUUAAGGGGAUCUGUUAGAGCAAUCGAAGCAGUGAACUUAAGCCCCAGUAAACGGCGGCCGUAACUAUAACGGUCCUAAGGUAGCGAAAUUCCUUGUCGGGUAAGUUCCGACCCGCACGAAAGGCGUAACGAUUUGGGCACUGUCUCAACAACAGACUCGGUGAAAUUGUAAUUCCGGUGAAGAUGCCGGAUACCUGCGACAGGACGGAAAGACCCCAUGGAGCUUUACUGUAGCUUGACAUUGGGUCUUGGUACUACAUGUACAGGAUAGGUGGGAGGCUUUGAAACCAGGACGCCAGUUUUGGCGGAGCCAUCCUUGGGAUACCACCCUUGUAGUACUGGGACUCUAACCAUAGGCCAUGAAUCUGGUCUUGGGACACUGUCAGGUGGGCAGUUUGACUGGGGCGGUCGCCUCCCAAAAGGUAACGGAGGCGCUCAAAGGUUCUCUCAGUACGGUCGGAAAUCGUACGUAGAGUGUAAAGGCAAAAGAGAGCUUGAUUGCAAGACAUACAGGUCGAGCAAGGAUGAAAAUCGGACUUAGUGAUCCGGUGGUUCUGCGUGGAAGGGCCAUCGCUCAACGGAUAAAAGCUACCCUGGGGAUAACAGGCUUAUCUCCCCCAAGAGUCCACAUCGACGGGGAGGUUUGGCACCUCGAUGUCGGCUCAUCACAUCCUGGGGCUGUAGUAGGUCCCAAGGGUUGGGCUGUUCGCCCAUUAAAGUGGUACGCGAGCUGGGUUCAGAACGUCGUGAGACAGUUCGGUCCCUAUCCGUCGCAGGCGUAGGAAAUUUGAGAAGACCUGUCCUUAGUACGAGAGGACCGGGAUGGACGUACCUCUGGUGUACCAGUUGU